RNAcentral lists this ribosomal RNA (452 nucleotides) under uncultured bacterium. RNAcentral describes it as "bacterial SSU rRNA". It matches the Rfam family "Bacterial small subunit ribosomal RNA", at positions 28 to 507 of the family's 1533-position model. The record is from RNAcentral.
GAUGAACGCUGGCGGCGUGCCUAACACAUGCAAGUCGAGCGAUUUACUUCGGUAAAGAGCGGCGGACGGGUGAGUAACGCGUGGGUAACCUGCCCUGUACACACGGAUAACAUACCGAAAGGUAUGCUAAUACGAGAUAAUAUACUUUUAUCGCAUGGUAGAAGUAUCAAAGCUCCGGCGGUACAGGAUGGACCCGCGUCUGAUUAGCUAGUUGGUAAGGUAACGGCUUACCAAGGCGACGAUCAGUAGCCGACCUGAGAGGGUGAUCGGCCACAUUGGAACUGAGACACGGUCCAAACUCCUACGGGAGGCAGCAGUGGGGAAUAUUGCACAAUGGGCGAAAGCCUGAUGCAGCAACGCCGCGUGAGCGAUGAAGGCCUUCGGGUCGUAAAGCUCUGUCCUCAAGGAAGAUAAUGACGGUACUUGAGGAGGAAGCCCCGGCUAACUACGUG